AUCCAACUGACGAGUUCCCAAUAGGACGAAACGCGCGUCAAACUGGAU
This is a non-coding RNA of Schistosoma rodhaini, 48 nucleotides long. The record is from Rfam. Lineage: Eukaryota; Metazoa; Platyhelminthes; Trematoda; Strigeidida; Schistosomatidae.